Molecule: long non-coding RNA, 875 nt
Organism: Dromaius novaehollandiae (emu)
Lineage: Eukaryota; Metazoa; Chordata; Aves; Casuariiformes; Dromaiidae
Source: Ensembl
GCGGGAGGCCGGGCCGCCGCUACCGCUGUUGCUUGCGCCGCGAAGUAAAAGGUACCUCACCCCUCCAUGAAAAAAAUAACAAGCUAGUUUUAGAAGAAACAAAUCAACAGCUAAAGAUGUUCAUCUUGUUUCUUUUCACGGGUCCCAUGCUGUUCUGAGGCCUGCUGCUUUGAGUGGUGAUGAUCAUCAUUGCCUCAACUGUUUCAAGAUCGUUUUCACUCUCUAUCCGUCACAAGGUGGUGGAGAAAAAUGUGGACGCUGGUAGAAGACCUGUGGAUCACUUCAGUUUUGAGGCAACGUGGAGAAGUUGCAAAGAGAAGACUGAAGAGGAAUGGUAUCUUGCUUAAGAAGGAGUUAAGACAUCUAAGCUGAUGCAAGCUAUUUUGGUGGUUCCAACUGAAGAGGGAGUGGUUUGGAAAUGAGAUAGUAAGAAACAGAAAGAAACAAGAAGUAAAAGAUAGUACUGCAGUUGGAGAAGGUAGUGUGUAAUUUACAGCACUCUUUUGGGCCUCUGAUUUCCAUUUAAUGGAAACGUUAACAAGGUAGAAAAAAGGGCUUGUGGUAAAGGAUGUGCAGUGUACAUAUUUAACACCAAUCUUGUACAUAUUUUUUUCAAGUCAUCUGCGGUUUAUAUAAUACUAUUGCCAUUAUACAGGAGAACAAUAACACCUGAACAUUAGGCAGAGACUUAGAUAUCCACCAGGUAUGUUUAAGAUUGCAAUAGUCUUUAAAAAAAAAAAAAAAAAAAAAAAAGCCUCAAUCAUUUAAAAUCAUAUCUACUUCUUUGCUGCCAUAAUUAUAUGCAUAUAAUUGCUAUUCAGUUAUUGCAGGGGGAGGGUAGCAAUAAAUGAGGGAGUUUUGUUUUAUGGUGUUCA